GAUGAACGCUAGCUACAGGCUUAACACAUGCAAGUCGAGGGACCGGCGCACGGAUGAGUAACACGUAUACAACCCGCCCUUUACUGGGGGACAGCCUUUUGAAAGAUAGUUUAAUACCUGAUAUUAAGUAUGGGGAUGCGUUCCAUUAGGUUGUUGGUGAGGUAACGGCCCACCAAGCCGUCGAUGGAUAGGGGUUCUGAGAGGAAGGUCCCCCACAUUGGAACGGAGACACGGACCAAACUCCUACGGGAGGCAGCAGUGAGGAAUAUUGGUAAAUGGGCGGUAGCCUGAACCAGCCAAGUAGCGUGAAGGAUGAAGGCUUAUGGGUCGUAAACUUCUUUUAUAUAAGAAUAUGUAUUAUAUGAAUAAGGAUCGGCUAACUCCGUGCCAGCAGCCGCGGUAAUUC
This 406-nucleotide ribosomal RNA is filed under the name uncultured bacterium. RNAcentral describes it as "partial 16S ribosomal RNA". It matches the Rfam family "Bacterial small subunit ribosomal RNA", at positions 28 to 526 of the family's 1533-position model. The record is from RNAcentral.